CUGGCGAAGCAUGUGCACGUCCAACCUUUUCUAUUACACACCCGUGCACCUUUUGUAGGUCCUCGAAAGAGGAUCUAUGUAUUUCAUCAUCACACCUAUCGUAUGUCUAGAAUGUCAUCGUCGACCACUGGGCGGCGAAAUAAAUAAUACAACUUUCAGCAACGGAUCUCUUGGCUCUCGCAUCGAUGAAGAACGCAGCGAAUUGCGAUAAGUAAUGUGAAUUGCAGAUUUUCAGUGAAUCAUCGAAUCUUUGAACGCACCUUGCGCUCCUUGGUAUUCCGAGGAGCAUGCCUGUUUGAGUGUCAUUAAAUUCUCAACCAUGACUUUGUUGACAUGGCUUGGAGUUGGGGGUUGCUGGCUUGUUUGUCAGCUCUCCUGAAAUACAUUAGCGGUGGACAAGCAAGGCCUUCCGACGUGAUAAUGAUCGUCGUGGGGCGGAGCAUCAACGUCUGUCUGCUUCUAAAUCCCAGAUGCCUUAGCUAGACAUCAUUUCGAACGCUUGACCUCAAAUCAGGUAGGACUACCCGCUGAACUUAAGCAUAUCAAUAAAGCGGAG
This 556-nucleotide ribosomal RNA is filed under the name uncultured Xerocomus. RNAcentral's name for it is "eukaryotic LSU rRNA". The stretch from base 151 to 305 matches the Rfam family "5.8S ribosomal RNA". The record is from RNAcentral. Lineage: Eukaryota; Fungi; Basidiomycota; Agaricomycetes; Boletales; Boletaceae.